This 238-nucleotide ribosomal RNA is filed under the name uncultured bacterium. Its description in RNAcentral is "partial 16S ribosomal RNA". It matches the Rfam family "Bacterial small subunit ribosomal RNA", at positions 15 to 244 of the family's 1533-position model. The record is from RNAcentral.
GAUCAUGGCUCAGGAUGAACGCUAGCUACAGGCUUAACACAUGCAAGUCGAGGGGCAGCAUGAACUUAGCUUGCUAAGUUUGAUGGCGACCGGCGCACGGGUGAGUAACGCGUAUCCAACCUGCCCUUUACUCGGGGAUAGCCUUCUGAAAGGAAGUUUAAUACCCGAUGAAUUCGUUUAGUCGCAUGGCUUGAUGAAGAAAGAUUUAUCAGUAAAGAAUGGGGAUGCGUCCCAUUAG